AUGUGUUCUCAUUUUGAUUUGUAUCCACUUGUAGGAACUAAAAAUGUACGCAUGUGUUCUCCUUUUGAUCUGUAUCUACUACUAUCUAAAUCUUAUUAUCUAGGUGCCAAAAAAAUGUGCGCCGAGACGCCGCCCCCGCGGCCGAACUCCUGCCUCCGCUUGGCUCCGUCCGCAGCAGCACACCACCUCCCUCGCCAUCCACCUGCCUGUGUUCAUAUUCUGCAGCAGUUUGGAGUGUAUUUAUAUAGAAGAAGAAAAAACAACGGCACCUGCACCGGAGCAGCAGGACAACGCACCCUCCCAGCGAUGGCGCAGCAGCGCAUUCGCCGUCUGUGCACAUGUGUGUGA
RNAcentral lists this ribosomal RNA (348 nucleotides) under Triticum aestivum (bread wheat). Its description in RNAcentral is "partial small subunit ribosomal RNA". Lineage: Eukaryota; Viridiplantae; Streptophyta; Magnoliopsida; Poales; Poaceae. The record is from RNAcentral.